AACGAACGCUGGCGGCAGGCUUAACACAUGCAAGUCGAACGCCCCGCAAGGGGAGUGGCAGACGGGUGAGUAACGCGUGGGAACAUACCCUUUUCUACGGAAUAGCUCUGGGAAACUGGAAUUAAUACCGUAUACGCCCUACGGGGGAAAGAUUUAUCGGGGAAGGAUUGGCCCGCGUUGGAUUAGCUAGUUGGUGGGGUAAAGGCCUACCAAGGCGACGAUCCAUAGCUGGUCUGAGAGGAUGAUCAGCCACAUUGGGACUGAGACACGGCCCAAACUCCUACGGGAGGAAGCAGUGGGGAAUAUUGGACAAUGGGCGCAAGCCUGAUCCAGCCAUGCCGCGUGAGUGAUGAAGGCCUUAGGGUUGUAAAGCUCUUUCACCGAUGAAGAUAAUGACGGUAGUCGGAGAAGAAGCCCCGGCUAACUUCGUG
Molecule: ribosomal RNA, 431 nt
Filed under: uncultured bacterium
Lineage: Bacteria
Description: partial 16S ribosomal RNA
Rfam family: Bacterial small subunit ribosomal RNA
Source: RNAcentral